This 254-nucleotide ribosomal RNA is filed under the name uncultured bacterium. RNAcentral describes it as "partial 16S ribosomal RNA". It matches the Rfam family "Bacterial small subunit ribosomal RNA", at positions 524 to 776 of the family's 1533-position model. The record is from RNAcentral.
UACAGAGGGUGCAAGCGUUAAUCGGAAUUACUGGGCGUAAAGCGUGCGUAGACGGUUAUGUAAGUCAGAUGUGAAAGCCCAGGGGCUCAACCUUGGAAUUGCAUUUGAGACUGCAUAGCUAGGGUGCGGAAGAGGGAAGCGGAAUUCCCAGUGUAGCGGUGAAAUGCGCAGAUAUUGGGAAGAACACCAGUGGCGAAGGCAGCUCGCUGGGACGUUACUGACGCUGAGACGCGAAAGCGUGGGGAGCAAACAGG